AGGGAGCCCCUAGGAGCAGCGAGCGGCACGGGGUGGGACCGGAUACUCAGAUUGGACCAUUUUAACAUUUCUUUUUAAACGUUAACACCGGAGUGCAACGAGACACACAAAGCGACAGUGUUGUCAGGGGUGAACUUGCGGGCUUUCGCGUCUCGUCGAAACCUCUGGAGCUGUCAGAAAAAAAUUGAUUGAGAGUUAAGGUGUGGCUGAGGGUUUCUGUAAGGCUUUCUGCACUGAAAAAAAAUGUUACAGAACCGACUGUUUCUGCUCGGGAGUUGCCAUCUGAGCCGAGACUCUUAUAUCUAGCAAUGGUUUUAAAGAUUCUGUUCAGUCAUUUUCAUCAAGGGAGAUAUUACAUAACAAAUGUAUUGCCAUCUAGAUGUGCGCACCUUUUGGCUUAAAUCCCUUCGCUGUAGCCUAGAUUAAUUGGACCAUUACGCUGUUAAGAAGUAAGUAGAGUGUGUAUUUUUUACUGCUUGGCAGGUCGUUUUGCUUUCAUAAGUCUGUGAAACGUAACGGACGUGGCAACUUUACAGUAGCCAGCCCUGCUGAAUGCCACAGACAAACUGGGCGUGGGGGAAACAGUCCGAACAGAGCCUAAUAAUCCUCAAAUCUCAUCCACGCACGGCCACUAAAUUGCGCAUAUUUGAGGUAGUAUCGCCACACUGACGAGCGCCUCGGCGGAGCCAGUGGAUUUACCUGAACCAAAUAUCUCCAGGUGCCCACAGUAGAUCUGCUUUUAACCAACUUUCGACCAUGGCAUCAGCAUCUACUUCCAGGAGUCUAGAGGUGAUAAUUGGUGGAGGGAAUCGGCCUGUGAGUGCAUUAAGAGAUCGUGGAAGGAGGGGAUGCAUGAGGAGGAGAAACACCUGCAGUAAGUUGAAUCCACCUGACCCAACAGGAUGAGGCUGUUUUGCUUUCUGGUCGUAUGCAUUUGAAUUUGUGUGUGUGCACCCCCCUCUCUUCCUCCCUCUUUGCCAUCCAGAUGUGCCACACCCGUGCUGCUAGACCUGGGUGGCCUGUACCUGUGCCUGUGCCAGCUGCUGUGCCAGCUGUGCAGGGGUGAGCGAGCAGAACAGCAUCACAGAAAGAGGUGAACAGACAGCUGCUGCAAACAGAGAGAUGGAGAAGCAUCAUUAAAGGAGGACUGAGUCAACCUACACACCAUCAAUCAUAAUAUAUUCAUUACUGGCUCACAGUUAUGUUACAGCAUAAAACUUAUCAUUAAGUUGAAAGCAUUUAAAAUUGGAAUUAGGGGCUGUAUAAUAUGUACUUUGCUGUGUCAUACACUCGCAAAUGUUUUAUAAUUACAGAAAUUGUGUCUGUUUCCAUUUUUCAACAUUAUUGGCAGCACUGAAUUUUAAUAAUGUAUAGGUACUUUGUUUUAUCUUCGUUCGACUCGUGGUUCAGAGUCACAUGGCGAAAGGGGAACUACAGCACUUUGGUGUUCCGGGCUCGAGGCUUAUGGACUUAACUAACUCACUUUCUUGUUUGGAGACAUACAUUAUACUGCCAGAGGGAACAUAAACAAUAAUCUUCUUAAGGUGUGAGCUGCUCUGAGCAGUAAUAGCAAGUCCUUACUCAAGCAAUUUACUGUAUAUGAAGUUGAGAUAGUGACUAGUGCUGUAUCGUAAUGCUGUACUGUAGUGCAGUUAUCUGUCAGUUCGGCACUUAACAUGAACUAAAAUUCUGAUGUUGAUUUCUGUUAAGAUUAUGAUACGGCAGACAGAAAUUAGAUACCAACGCCAUGUUCUCAGUUCACUGCACUAGCAGAAAAACAGCCUCUUUACAGUGCGUAACUGUAACCUAGAAUAGACACACACAAAAAAAACAGGUGAAACAUUAACAUUGGCUCCUUUAGGUGUCCCAGUGAGUUUAUAUCAGUAUUCAUAGAAGAGACCUGGGACCUCUAUGGAAAGCCAUAACUCAUGGUAUUGAUUACAUGUUUGCUUUUAUGCUAUGACGUGUUAAAAUGUUGCUAUUGGCUGAAUGGUUGGUUAGCAUUUUUAGAUUAUAUAUUGUUACUCAUUUAAAAUGGUCAUGAAAGCCAUAUUUCCAUAAGUUUUUUUUAAAGCAAAAAUAUCUUCUUUUUUAAGGGAAUUUUACUAAUAUAGUUUGGAAAAUGUAAUACCAGUCACAUCUUUGCACAGCAUGUAUCGACAUCAGGCCAUUGACUUUGACCCCUAACUGUUAGUAGAUUAACUUCGUCUGUUCAAGGUCCUCUGACCCUCACAGAGAAGGUCACAGACAAUUUCUUCAAGAAGAUAAAUCGAAUUCUGUUCUUUAUCUGCUGUAGAGAUAUUCUCCCUCAGGACAUCUAUUUAAGAUGUGAUCUAUGUGCCUUAUCACUGGCUUGCAAUAUAAUGGCUAAUGGAGUGAUAGAUGAUGUGUUUGAGCAUACUUUGAAAUAGAAAUUCCGAGAACAAAGCACUAAUGGACAAGAUGCACAUAUCCUAGAUUUGGCAGGGUGGAAUAAAUUGCAAAUACGUGGAGUAGUUUUUUUUUUUUUAGACUAAAGUAUUCUCUGGUGUGGUGUCUGCUGUCCAGCCCUUGUUCACCUCUUAAGUCAAAGCAGGAAGAAGCUCCAAGGCCAGGUCUGAAGAGGUUUACAAACCUCUCCUAAAUUCUUCCCUGUGGGUAAAAUCAUGUGAAAGCUGCUUAGGCAGAUUAUCCCUGCCUCGACGGCAGCUGGCAGCGAGAUCCUUGGGAGUGCACCUGACUCAAUACUGGUGGUGACGCAACCGCAGCCUGUGGCACAGCGUGCUCCCACAAUCCUCUGUGGCCUUUAGCCCCUGAGGGAAAAGUGCAUCUUGUGGUUUAAAGCAAGCAGGAACUAAAUAGGAGAUCACACACACACAUAAUGCACUGAUCAAAAUGCAAGUGAUCUGAUUACUUAAAAUUUUGAAAUGUUUAAUCUGUUAAGGUAAAGCAUGAUAAAAAAAAAAGUUAUUAUAUUGUUCAGGAAUGUGUUUUAACUCAUUUACAUUGUGUAAUAAUUAUGGAUAAAUAUAAUUCUAAGUGAUUGUGUGUAAGUGGUGCUUAAUUAGUGUUUAAACUUGGUAUUAUUAAAUAACAUAACACCAUCAACAACCAUCCCUGUUUCCUGGACUUAUUUCCAUCAUUGUCCCUGAUAUUUACACAUUCUAAUAACCUUUAUCAAGA
Molecule: long non-coding RNA, 3162 nt
Organism: Morone saxatilis (striped sea-bass)
Lineage: Eukaryota; Metazoa; Chordata; Actinopteri; Moronidae
Exons: 3
Source: RefSeq, a predicted model, not a curated record